AAUAAGUGUAGUUUUACACUGUUUACGUUCAGCAUUUGACCGUUCAUCUUAUUUAAAAUUUUUUUAUGAUUAGUAUUUUUAUUGCUAUUAGAUGAUAAAACAUGAAUAGUACUUUAUACGUGACUAAAUAUUUUUAAUUUUUUCUCAAAAUUUUCAAAUAAGAUGGACGGUCAAACGUUGAACACGGAUAUCCACAACUGUAUUUAUU
Oryza meridionalis is the source of this 208-nucleotide non-coding RNA. NCBI's taxonomy places the organism in Eukaryota, Viridiplantae, Streptophyta, Magnoliopsida, Poales, Poaceae. The record is from Rfam.